GAUGAACGCUGGCGGCGUGCCUAAUACAUGCAAGUCGAGCGAACGGACGAGAAGCUUGCUUCUCUGAUGUUAGCGGCGGACGGGUGAGUAACACGUGGAUAACCUACCUAUAAGACUGGGAUAACUUCGGGAAACCGGAGCUAAUACCGGAUAAUAUUUUGAACCGCAUGGUUCAAAAGUGAAAGACGGUCUUGCUGUCACUUAUAGAUGGAUCCGCGCUGCAUUAGCUAGUUGGUAAGGUAACGGCUUACCAAGGCAACGAUGCAUAGCCGACCUGAGAGGGUGAUCGGCCACACUGGAACUGAGACACGGUCCAGACUCCUACGGGAGGCAGCAGUAGGGAAUCUGCCGCAAUGGGCGAAAGCCUGACGGAGCAACGCCGCGUGAGUGAUGAAGGUCUUCGGAUCGUAAAACUCUGUUAUUAGGGAAGAACAUAUGUGUAGUAACUGUGCACAUCUUGACGGUACCUAAUCAGAAAGCCACGGCUAACUACGUG
This 496-nucleotide ribosomal RNA is filed under the name uncultured bacterium. Its description in RNAcentral is "partial 16S ribosomal RNA". It matches the Rfam family "Bacterial small subunit ribosomal RNA", at positions 28 to 507 of the family's 1533-position model. The record is from RNAcentral.